RNAcentral lists this non-coding RNA (45 nucleotides) under Schistosoma mattheei. The record is from RNAcentral. Lineage: Eukaryota; Metazoa; Platyhelminthes; Trematoda; Strigeidida; Schistosomatidae.
AUUCAGCCGACGAGUCCCAAAUGGGAAGAAACGCGCGUCCUGCAU